AUCUCUCUGAAACUCCCCACUUCAGUAACCAUUAAAAAUGCGGAAGCUAAAGACCAAAUAAAAUCAAAUGUGGGAAAUCCUUCGUGAAACCCCACUUGCAAGGUAUGUAACUUUUACUCGGUCUUUUGGGUUUCUAUUUGUUGUGGAAACCCUAGCUUUCAUAUCUCAGAGUCAGUUUAAUUCAUAUGAUUUGAAUAUAUUUCCUGCUUAAGUUUUUGUGUCUAUGUUGUGAUAAUUAUUUAUGUUGCUUCAUUGUUACCUACUUAGUAUUUUGAGUUUCUGAACUGAUUUCUUGAAUGAACUUUGUCUUAGAGAUACGGGGAUCAACCAGUUAAGAAAUUUAUGGUGAUUUAAUAGAUCAAUACUUCUGUUGGGUUGUUAUUGGUAUGAAUUUUGGUUAUAAUAUUGAUUGUGAUAUUGCUUGGAAGAAGAAGAAGAGGAGGUUGAGAACAAUAGUCUUGCAAUUCUCGAGUGAAAACAGCAAAGAAAAACCCGCAUUCAAAAGGUUAAACAUAUGUGAGGGGUGUUCUCCAAAUUUGAACCAUCCUCUUAAAUCUGAAGGAUAAAAAUGAAGAUAGAUGCCUAUAUUGAACAUGCAAAGAAGGAACUGAAAUUGGUUGAUGUUGAAAUCUUGGCAAUUAUCGAGGAAAUUGGAAUCUCGCGCAAGCCAUUAGAGAAGGUUAUAGCAUAUAUCAUCAUUACAUUGAAUUUUAGAUUGUUUUGUAGCUUUAACUUUGCUUCUUUUCCUCUGCAGACUAAUCUGGAAAAUAGUGAUCUGGUAUUUUUUCUAUUUUAGCAAAGUUUCAGGAUGCGUCAUUUUUUCAGCAAAGAGUAGUUUAAUGAACCGGGUAAUAAAAUGUAUGAUUAGGAGGGAAUUGCAAGAGUAGAAUGUAAGACCUAAUCUUGAAAAUGUGUUCUGCAGAAUCUUCAUAUCAUAAGCCUGCCCAUAUGCCUGAUACUAUACUUGAUUUUGCUUAAAAUGCAGUAGGAAGAGUUUCUCCUGUUAAUUCUGACAACCCUGCUAAUCCAAAGGUACGAGCUUCAUUUUCAUAUUUGACCCUUUCUAUUUUGAAAUUCCACCUGCAUUAUAGUUAUAUUGUUAGGUGGUUGGACUUCUACAUUUUAAUGCAUGCCUUAUGACUGGAAUUCUCAUACCAUGACUGGAAUGCCGAUGUGUCUGAGUUGUGCUAGCCUUAUAUGUGCACCAUUUUUCUACCUCUUUAGAUUUAGUUUCUUUAGGAUAGCGCUUGAACUCUAGGUUGAUGGAAUGUCUGGGGCCUCCUCCCCUUUUUGUUAGCAGACUGUUAUUAACAGUCGACACCAUAUUGAUUAAAAAUAUGUUUGAAUGUAUAGAUGUGGCUUCCGUAAUGCUGGGUCACAUUUUUCUAUUUCCUAUAGCAGAAAUAAUGUGUUCACACGCAUUAUUGGCUUGGUGCCUGUCCCCAUGGUUCGAUUGAUGAACUUUUUCUCAUAUGAGCAGUUUUUUUGUGUAUUCUUAUUCACGUAAUCAAGUCAUGUUCUCAAAGCUUUGUAGUUUUAAAUUCAAAAAAUGGCAAAACUUCUGUGAAGGUACAAUUACAAAGUAAAGAUACAAACUCUUAAAGUUUUUAUCAUUAUUCCGUAUUUUGUCUCAUUAUUCCUCAUAUGAGCAGUUUUUUUGUGUAUUCUUAUUCACGUAAUCAAGUCAUGUUCUCAAACCUUUGUAGUUUUAAAUUCAACAAAUGACAAAACUGUUCUGUGAAGAUACAAUUACAAAGUAAAGAUACAAACUCUUACAGUUUUUAUCAUUAUUCCAUAUUUUGUCUCACUUUUAAAAGUUGUAUACAGUUGUUUUCUUUUAAAUUGGUUGCUUGAUUGAUGGCUUGCUUUCUUCUUAAUCGUAUUGUCUAUUUAAUUUUUUUGGAUUAGAGAUGUCUUAGGUCAAGACUACAGUGGUCACACCGGUAGUUUGAUUUAAGUGGACGACCGACCUUCUGCCGAUUGUAGUUUCCAGCAGGCCCACAUACGACUGGUGGUCGCCCACCAAAUGUAACCAACUCCUUUUGCAUGUAACUUCCUUUUAUCUCUAUGUUAGCUCCAAUAUUGAUUGAUAUCCCUCUUUCGGUUUGGUUAUAGUCGACACCAGGUUAUGGGACUUCUACCGGAGAAAAUUAAUUUUCUUCCACCAGAGCAACGAGAUCAAGUAGUUCAAUUCCAACGAAUGUUUCGGUAUAACUCUAGCAAACUAUUUUUCUUUUGUGUUGGUUGACCAGCACAGUUACAUAAGAUUCAUGAGAGCGAUGCAGCUGUGCAGAUGGUAGAGACCAAAUUGACUUGGCAAAAGAUGCUCAGAUGUUUCAGUUAAUUUAAAUAUUAGUUCACUUACAAUUUACAUUAUUCGGUAUUAUCAAUUUAUAAACUUUGAGGCUUUGAGGUUUAUGGUGAAUUUUAGAUUGUUUGGUAGCUUACAUUUUACAUUCACAUUUAUUAUAAGAUUUGAGUUUCAAUCGAUUUAUGAUUUCGAUGCAAUGAUGAGUUGAAGCGCAUGGGAGUGCGUAUAGGGCAGUGGGGAAGACAUAAAAAUCUUUGCCGUGAGCCUUUAACAAAAACGACUUCUCCUUCCACUGAGCUCGAGUAUCUCUAUAGAUUCCUUUUUCCGGUUCACUUGUAUUUUGUUUAUGAUAAGCAAAAGCACACAGGUUAGUACGUUAAGUUUUCCAUUGAAAAAUCUGUUCCUUCUUUUUUCUCAUGUAAGUCUACAAGCUAAUUGGUUUUCUCGGAUAGCAGAUUAGCACACUCGAAGGCUUACAGGUGACAUUUUCAUAAAGACCUGAUAAGCUCAAAAGUUGUGCAAAAUCUUUCUAGUCGUUCUGUUUUAUCCUCUUGUGUUAGGUUUUUUGUAAACUUUUACAUUUGGAUCCUUUGUAGAAAGACUAACAUCUUGAAGAUUAUAUGAAGAUUAUAUGUAGUUCAUUAUUAAUGCUGAUUAUUGCUAAUAAUUUAAUGUUAACAAUAAUAAUUGAUUGAUUAUAAUUUUAGAGUUAAUGAAUUUAUUAUUCAGAGAUGUUUGUGUAUUGGAGCUAUCUGCGGAACUGAGUUUUGCUGAAGUUGUGCAGUUGAGUUUUAUAUAAUCUAUUGGUUUAUCAACAAUCAUUUUCUUCACAACAUAUUCUUCACAACAACAACAAUCAAAUCAUUUCUCCACAUUUGUAAUUUUUCUUUUUUCCAGUGUCUUUCAGUUUUAUCAGGAUGUGUACUAUAUAGUGUCUUUUUAUUUUGUUGAUAGUUUUGGAGGUAUUUUAAAAUGCAGAGAUAUGUGUGUAUUGGAAUUGUGCUUCAAAUGCACUUUCAUCCGAAAGAAUUCUCUGCAAAAUUGAUUUUUGGUGAAAGUGGGCAGUUGAGUUUCAUGCAAUCUAUUGAUUUAUCAACAAUCAUUUUCUCCACAUCGUUUCCAUAUUGAUUUUUUUGGUAGGAUUUGUAAGUUUUGCUCACAUUACUAUUGCUCUUGAAAUUUCAGUCAGAUGUUUUGCACCUUCUGCUUCAGUUUGAACUAGAAUCCCGUGACGAUGUUUGUUUUUACAAAUCAUUUCUUUGACAAUGUUUGUUUUUACAAAUCAUUUGGCUUCAUUAUGGUUCCGUUGACGCAAAAUUAUGUUGUUGCUCUAUUUAUUCUCUUAUUUUCAGUUGUUUUGGGUAAGUUUUUGUAAACUUCAAAAUUUUGGAAAUUCUCUUUUGUGGUUGCUUUUUUGAUUCUUGAAAAGUGGUUGGGUAAAUUUAGUUUUGGGACGGGAUGUUGAUGCUGAUGAUGACUACACAUAGACCUGUAAUGAUUGCGGAGAUGACCACAGAACUUGAACAUCUAAGGGGCUGAGGCAUAUUUGUCUUUCAAAGCACUUUAAUAUGUCUUAUUAAAUUUAGCUUUUCCUUCCAAGGCAACGAGUCUUCCCAUGCUUCUUUUUUUUUGAGGGGAAUGUUGUGUUGGAGGUGAUGAUCAUUUCCUGAACAUUUGAAGUGAGAGCUUUCACCUUUUGCCAGGCUUGAGAGCUAAUGCUGUCAAUUCAAAAGGCUCUGUAUCUGAGUCAACAGCAGGUGACUUUUAAUGUCCUAACCUGACUGCCGCUUAGAGCCGAUAUUAAUUUUACCAGGGUAAGAUUGUUUGUAAUUCACUUACAUGUUGCGAGCCACAAUAUCUGGUAAUAUCUCCAAAUGUCUAUUGUGUUUCAUUUUACAGUUGGUUAAAAUCCAAGUUCAUAAGUAUGCUUAGGUUUCAGUAAUGUUAAAUUUUCGCGAGAUAACAAUUGAGAAUGUUAGAUAUACACAGUUUACUGUUAGCGUCGUUAGUUUGUCAUCUUACAAUCCGUUUGUCUGUAUAUGUAAUUUUAACGGUUAUUUUCUAAGUCAGGUGCUCAAUAAUGAAAUUUGCUAUAUGCGGUCUGCCGCUAAUCAAGUUGGGAAUGACCCAAUUGAUUGUGGCUACUUCAUCUCUAACCAAGACGGAAACAUCUCUAAACGCCGUCUCCACCAACGUGCUCAUGUUUUUAAUCUUGAUUGUAAUAUCAAGAUUAAAAAUGGCCUCUUUCAGUUCGUGUUUUACUUACGAUAGAUUUUUCUUUUUUUGUGUUGCAGUGAUAAUUUUUUAAUAUAUUUUUUUAACUUCAUGUAGCCCCCAAGCAGAAAUACUGCGAAUUUACACAUAAGACUAUAUGGAGGAAAGCAACGCUCUUCGUAGUGAUCAUUCGGUUAGGAUUCAUAUAUGACUCUGACUAGCACUAAUGAUGUUGCCGGCACAGUGGAACAGGUCAAUAUGUCACCCCUCAUCUUAAAUUCAUAUUGUGAUUUACAUUAGUUUUUGGUGUAUGAGAUUGUGAUUCUGAAGCAAUUGACGGUGGCAACAAUUAACUGUGCUUAUACAAGUGGACGUCACACAACCUUUUUUUUUUGUUUCAAUGGGUGUAGACAAAUUUGAGCAUAGCAUUUGAGGUGUAUUUCUGUUUAAAUUGAACUAUAAUAUGUCCACAAACAGAUGUCACCUUUGAUAUUGACAUUGGCAAUAGAAGUAUUACAAAGUCACUUUUCCAUGUGACUCAUAUGAGUAAUCGCCAUUGAGUAUCUCUACACUCACAGUUGAAUAUCUUAGUAGAGAGUUUCCAGAGAGUAUCAUCCUUACUAGAUAUCGUUAGCAAACAGUGUUAUCAGCCAGCCGCGACUUUAUGUACAGAUGCAGUAAUCAUUUAUAACGCAGUAAUCAUUUAUAACAUCAGUUUUUCUGAGGCUCAGUUAGAGAGUGAUUACUUUUAAGGCUAAGGAUAUUGAAAUCUUGCCAAAAGUUAAAAGUUCAGUACAUAGCCUAUAAAUAUUAAAAUCUUGCCGAAACUUGAAAAUGUUGUUUGCACAUCCCAGGCUAUGAAAAUUUAAAGCUUGCCGAUAAUAUCUCAGGCCAUUGUUGAUUCAAGUCAUGGCAGUAGGAAGGUUCCCUUUUUUUUUGUCCUUCAUGUCAUUUUUUUUUCUUCUGUUAAACGUAUUAUGAAAUGGUAUUUUUCGCUGUUGUUUGUUUGUAUGGUGAUAUAAAUUUUCGCGAGGUAACAGAGAAUAUUAGAUAUGCACAGUUUACUGUUAGCGUCGCUUAGUUUUUCAUCUUACAAUCCGUCUGUCCGUAUAUGUAAUUUUAAUGGUUGUUAUAUGGGGUUCUGCCGCAAAUCAAGUUGGGAAUGAUCCAAUUGAUUGUGACUCCACUUCAUCUCUAACCAAGGACGGAAACAUCUCUAAACGCCGUUGCCACCAACGUGCUAAUCUUAGGUGGAUGGCUUUAUCUUGCCUGCCCUAGGUGUAGCGAAAAAUUCUUGGUGAGAAUGGUAAUCUUUGGUGCACUAAAUGUGAAGGCAAAGUUGAUAUGCCCAUCGCAAGGUAAUCACCCAAAACUGUGAUUUUUCAUUAUCCGAGAUCAAUGAAUUUUUUUCAUCCUUUAAUUAACUAAUGGAGCGAACAAUGGUUCUUUUUUCAUCCCACGUUCAAUCUUCUCUUUGAAGAAGAGGACCACGCUGGCGCCACAGUCUUUGUGGCUCUGGAUAGUCAGGUCCAGAAAUUGGUCCGUCAAACGGCAGCAGAGCUCAUAAUGAUCUUCGGUAGUUAUUUUGCAGUUCAUCUAUCAGACUUAAAAUAAUAAUCUGCAACGUCAUUGAUUAUGCAUGUUCUAUCUUAGCAGAAAAACAUUUUGUAUGACGAAGCGGAGAAACGGAGCUCAAUGCCAGUGCUUGCAUGCCGUCCACCACCUCUAAUAAGAGUUUGACAUAAGAACUUUUUAGUUUCAUCAUCUUUACUGCAUGAACAUAUACAAGUAUAGAAUGAGUCAUUAGAAAACAUGCCCUAGAGCACAACCCAACUUACAAAUACAUUUAUCUAUUAUGUGAUUAUUUUUUUUGCUAACAGGAUGCAUGCCUACGUAGCACUGCUGAUAAUGGAGGUGGAAGAUUUAACUGCCACUGCUGUGUUUGUGGCGAAAAGCAUUUGAGAUACUGAGCACCAGUGGCUCAUCAAAUAAUGACGUAGAUUUGUCCCUAGGCUACACCAAGGAAAAGGACCAGAGGCAUUACAAUCUGCCAACAGCGAGUGAAAUUGCCAUCAUAUUGACGGGAGACCAAAGUUUGAAAUCAAGAAUGCUGGAUAUCCUUUUGUACCUUAAGGUAAGCCGUGGGUAAAGGAGAAUGCCACCCUGGGUACCUGACACUCCAUUAUGGAACUGAUAUGAUUUUAUUAAUUUCCCUUCAAAAAAAUUAGUUUUUAAAGCUAUUUUUACAAUGAAAUGUUGUGUAGAUAAAGCAGGUGCCAUUGUAGUACAGUGGUAACACUGGGUGAUGAUCAAAUAAAAGAGUAGUAAGAAAAAGAGGGGAUUGGUAGAACCAGGAAGAAACAAAAAUGGAAUAAGAAGAAAGAGAAAGCGGACAGAGUUUUGCAUCAUUUUCAUAAAUGUAUACCCGCUUGGAAGCUUGAAAGUGUUUUAAAUGUUUGUCAAAAUGUCACGGAUUCAAGUCAAUCCUAGCCGUUGAUCAAUGACGACAUGGACAACAAACAAAACACGGUUUUUGGAUCCUAUUUUGACAUCUAUCUAUUCGAUCUAUUAUAUAAAGCCAUCUACCUUAGUGAA
Molecule: long non-coding RNA, 7120 nt
Organism: Papaver somniferum (opium poppy)
Lineage: Eukaryota; Viridiplantae; Streptophyta; Magnoliopsida; Ranunculales; Papaveraceae
Exons: 3
Source: RefSeq, a predicted model, not a curated record